CUGGGAUUUAUACUCCUACUGGGCAGCCCUUACCAAUGACUGGUACAGAAGUGCGAAAGCCCAACUUCUUUGCUUUGAAUUGGGGCAAAUGCCAAGGUGUACUUUCUACUCCAGAGCUCCCUUCAGGAUCCAGCUGAGGCUUGGGCUUGCUCUCCUCUUCUUCUCUGUUCUGCUCCACCUCCCCCUGCCCCCCACCGAUGCCCCUGGGAGCACUUCUUUAAUCAAUUGCUUGCACACAAAUCGUUAGCUCCUUCUGGGGGACCUGCCGUAUCACCAGGGCUCGAACAUCACAGCUGCUCUGUAAAUAUUUGUUGCCUGAGUGAAUGAAUACAUGAAUGGAUGAACAAGCUGAGGAAAUCACAGGCAGGUGGAAUCCGAACAGGUUAUUAUACUAAUUACGGGCUGUCUACUUUUUUUUCCCUCCACCUCUGUCAAACAGGUUGGCCCCUUGGGGAAUUUCCCCAAAGCUUUUGAAGUAGACAGGGUAUCUUCUCACCAGUUUCCUGUGCUUCCUAAUUGGGCAAGCCAUUAGAAGAUCUCCUGUGUGUGUCAGAGGAUCCUACGAGUAAGAAAGGUGGAAGGAUCAUUACUGACUAUGGAUAAAAAAAACCUUCAGAGCUGGACACAUAUAGAUAUGGCUUUGCUGUUUAUCACCUAUGAGAUCCCAAGCAGCUGCCACUUCCCGAAUCCCAGGGUUUGGUGUCUGUGCCUCGUGCCACGCGCUUGUCUCAUCUUUGCCUCUGCUUCCUGAUGGACGGACACUGUUACAAAAGAUGGAUGAGUUUGAAGCUGAAGUCACGCAGUGUUCUGCCAGCAUCAGGAGGGAUUCAUGCCUGGGACAGAGAGGAGAAGAGCUCCUGGGAUUUGCAGAAGAAAGAGGCCUGGGGACAAAUAGAUGUCAUCACUGGGGCCCCAGGAAGACCUUAUCGGGCCUGUAGACUCUUCCUUUGGAGCCCUGGUCUUAGCAGUGUUGUUUUCUGGCCCUUGGCAGAUGGUUACUAUACCUGGGAGUUACUUGCCUCUGAAGGCCACUUCACCUUAGGAUGGCGGGUAGUUAAGUCUAGAGGAGUGAGAGAGCAGAUAAGUUCUCAGUUCAUGGGUGUUUGA
RNAcentral lists this long non-coding RNA (1107 nucleotides) under Capra hircus (goat). RNAcentral describes it as "lncRNA (ENSCHIG00000000699.1)". Lineage: Eukaryota; Metazoa; Chordata; Mammalia; Artiodactyla; Bovidae. The record is from RNAcentral.